UCCUGUUUAGAAUGUCAAGAAAAAUCUCAUGUACUUUUUUUUCUUUAAUUUUGAAAUCUAGUUUGAAACAAUUUAAGUACAAGCUAAAUCAAGUAAAAUCAGUCGCAGAAGAAAAGGCAACUUCAUUGAAGGACACUACGUAGCAUAUGCAUAUACUGGAUCAAAAUACAUUAUGUACAAAUGUGAUCAAUGUCCAUAUAAUACUAAUAAUAGAGCUAAGUUGAUUCGUCAUUACAGAAGGCAUACAGGAGAAAAACCUUUUGAAUGUAAUAUUUGUUUGAAGAAAUUUACAAGAAGAGAAAGUAUGAUGUCUCACUGCAAAAUUGUGCAUUGUGAAUGAAGAGUCUUCUCAAAAAAUAAAGAUUGUGUUUAUGACGUCCAUGAAAAAGAUAUAAACCUAAUAUUGGACUUAAUGCCUCAAGUGAUAAGCUGCAAAAUUACACAUUUAUAUGCUUUAGGGUUGCUGUUUUUGUUAUUGAAUAUAUAAGACAAACUUUUAAUGACUUUUUUUUGCAUAACAAAUCAUAUUAUCACUUGUGCAAUUGUAAAAUAAAUAAGAAUAUUUGAAAAUAGCUUAUUUUUUAGAAACUUUUACGAAUCUUUAUGCAUGCAUUUGCUUAUCACAUAUAUAUUUCUAUAUUAAAAGAAACUUUAAAAUAUUGUAUACAUUAAAUUAUUUAUUCUGGGUGCAGUGGUUUUUAUUAUUAAAAAGCCUAUAUGUUAUGACUUGAAGCAAUUAUUUAUUUGAAUGUUACAAAAGGAUAUAUGUAUUCAUUUAUUUACACAUGUUAAAUUACUUUUUUUAAACUGAUAUUGUAUGAUGAUAUAGAAUAGAUACUUUUCUCUAUUUUUCAUUUUAUAAAUACUAAUAUAUUUUGUAGCUUUUUCUG
Molecule: long non-coding RNA, 890 nt
Organism: Argiope bruennichi
Lineage: Eukaryota; Metazoa; Arthropoda; Arachnida; Araneae; Araneidae
Exons: 3
Source: RefSeq, a predicted model, not a curated record